AGAACGAACGCUGGCGGCAGGCCUAACACAUGCAAGUCGAGCGCCCGUAGCAAUACGGGAGCGGCAGACGGGUGAGUAACACGUGGGAACGUGCCCAAAGGUACGGAACAACUCCGGGAAACUGGAGCUAAUACCGUAUGUGCCCGAAAGGGGAAGAUUUAUCGCCUUUGGAUCGGCCCGCGUCUGAUUAGCUAGUUGGUGAGGUAAUGGCUCACCAAGGCGACGAUCAGUAGCUGGUCUGAGAGGAUGAUCAGCCACACUGGGACUGAGACACGGCCCAGACUCCUACGGGAGGCAGCAGUGGGGAAUAUUGGACAAUGGGCGCAAGCCUGAUCCAGCCAUGCCGCGUGAGUGAUGAAGGCCCUAGGGUUGUAAAGCUCUUUCGGCGGGACGAUAAUGACGGUACCCGCAGAAGAAGCCCCGGCUAACUUCGUGCCAGCAGCCGC
RNAcentral lists this ribosomal RNA (446 nucleotides) under uncultured bacterium. Its description in RNAcentral is "SSU rRNA". It matches the Rfam family "Bacterial small subunit ribosomal RNA", at positions 26 to 518 of the family's 1533-position model. The record is from RNAcentral.